GCCACGGGGAGCUGCUGGUGCGUGCUGAGCACCCACCAAUUUUUUUUUCAUCGGAUGCUCCAGCCCCGGAGCACUCACGAAGUCAGCGCCUAUGCCUGGGGGUAGCAGCACACAGAGGCCCCCCAGCCCACCCUGCCUAGGAGCCCCAGCAGGUCUGUACAACCUUUCAGGGCUGAGGGAGAUGCACCGUCCCUGAGCUUGCACUGAGGAUGCUGCUGUUCCUGCUCCCUGUGGCCUUUCUCCUGCAAGUCCUGCCCCCCCGGGGCUCAGGCUGCCAUUGGGUCAGGCCAGACGGUUCCUCGGCUGGAUUCUCUACCCAUUAUUAACUAUUUGUUCCCCAGGGGGGAUCAUUGGGGAACAGGAAGCUGUGCCCCACUCCAGACCCUACAUGGCCUUUCUGAAGAUAAAAAAAAGGUUUGAACCUGUGAAUACCUGCGGCGGGUUCCUGAUCUGGGAGGACGUGGUGGUGAUGGCAGCUCACUGAAGUGGAGCAGACACCAUAGUGCUGGGGGCCCACAACAUUUGGAAGAGAGAAUCAAGCAGGCAAAAAAUUGGAGUGAGGCUCUGGAUCUGCCACCCCAAAUAUAAUAAAAUGACACAAUAAAAUGACACAAAAGAAUGACAUCAUGCUGCUGCAGGUCGCUGGUGUGAACCCCUGAGGACAGCAUUUGGGAUGCAGGGAGAUAAAGUGAUGGGGAAAGAUCAUGCUUUGGAAAGCCACAUGGCAACAGCUGUGUAACAUCUGAAGCCCAGCACAACUGGCUUGCGUGGAGAGCACAGGUGACCACGCAGAACUCAUCAGCACAGGUAACCAUGAUGGUAACCAGGAUUGCAAAAGAGCUCCAGCAUGGACCGAACGGGAGCUGCAAAUGUUUCUCCUUUGCAGAGGCUAGUGAAGAUUAGAAGGAGAAAAUGGUGGACUCAGGAUGAUAUGUUCUCGGAGCUCCAGAUGUCCUCCCGUGCUGACAGAGCACAGCAGAAUGCGUGGAGGCAGUCAAUGUCAGACUACAGAAAAGCACAAUAUGAACGAGAGGAGAGGUGGCAGGCAGAAUCGUGGGCUGAACAGAGCAAGUGGCGGGCUGAAGAUGAUAGGUGGCAUCAGCUUGCAGACAGAAGGCAAGAGUCGAUGCUCCGGCUGCUGGAGCAUCAAACUGAUAUGCUCCAGCGUAUGGUUGAGCUGCAGGAAAGGCAGCAGGAGCAGAGACUGCUGCUACAGCCCCUGUGUAACCAACAGCUCUCCUCCCCAAGUUCCAUAGCCUCCUCACCCAGACGCCCAAGAACACGGUGGGGGGCCCUCCGGCCACCCAGUCACUCCACCCCAGAUGAUUGCCCGAGCAUCAGAAGGCUGGCCUUCAAUAAGAGUUAAAGUUUUAAACUGCAGCGUGUCCUUUUCCUUCCCUCCUCCCCCACCCAUCCCGGGCUACCUUGGCAAUUAUCCCCCUAGUUGUAUGAUGAAUUAAUAAAGAAUGCAUGAAUGAGAAGUAACAA
This is a long non-coding RNA of Malaclemys terrapin pileata, 1488 nucleotides long. RefSeq lists it as uncharacterized. The transcript has 8 exons. The record is from RefSeq and is a predicted model, not a curated record. Lineage: Eukaryota; Metazoa; Chordata; Testudines; Emydidae.